This 448-nucleotide ribosomal RNA is filed under the name uncultured bacterium. RNAcentral describes it as "bacterial SSU rRNA". It matches the Rfam family "Bacterial small subunit ribosomal RNA", at positions 330 to 792 of the family's 1533-position model. The record is from RNAcentral.
CCCAGACUCCUACGGGAGGCAGCAGUGGGGAAUAUUGGACAAUGGGGGGAACCCUGAUCCAGCGACGCCGCGUGAGUGAAGAAGUAUUUCGGUAUGUAAAGCUCUAUCAGCAGGGAAGAAAGAAAUGACGGUACCUGACUAAGAAGCCCCGGCUAACUACGUGCCAGCAGCCGCGGUAAUACGUAGGGGGCAAGCGUUAUCCGGAUUUACUGGGUGUAAAGGGAGCGUAGACGGCGAUGCAAGUCUGAAGUGAAAGGCGGGGGCCCAACCCCCGGACUGCUUUGGAAACUGUAUAGCCGGAGUGCAGGAGAGGGAAGUGGAAUUCCUAGUGUAGCGGUGAAAUGCGUAGAUAUUAGGAGGAACACCAGUGGCGAAGGCGGCUUACUGGACUGUAACUGACGUUGAGGCUCGAAAGCGUGGGGAGCAAACAGGAUUAGAUACCCGAGUA